This is a long non-coding RNA of Papaver somniferum (opium poppy), 711 nucleotides long. RefSeq lists it as uncharacterized. The record is from RefSeq and is a predicted model, not a curated record. Lineage: Eukaryota; Viridiplantae; Streptophyta; Magnoliopsida; Ranunculales; Papaveraceae. The transcript has 3 exons.
GAAAUGGUAAGUGUGAUGGGAAACCCCUAGCUAGGUUUCAAAUUAGUUCAUAUUUUCAGUAAUUGCAAAUAGUGAUUUGAUUAGUUUGAGUUUUUGCUGAAAUCUGGAAAUGGAGUUUUGGUCUCAUGGGGUUAAUGAUUCUGAUUGAUUCUGUUGAAAGGGUUUUGAUCUGCUAAUUUUUCAUUUUGUGGAAGCUUCAGAGUUGAGACAAGCUGAAAUUCUCAUGGAUUUGAACAACAUUGGUGAGGCAGAGAAUAGGAUUAGCGAAUUACCUGAUUCAAUUCUUCAUCAUAUCCUCUCUUUCCUUGAUAUCAAACCUGUUGCUCAAACUGGUGUACUAUCUAAAAGAUGGAAAUACUUAUGGACCUCUAUCCCCACUCUUGUGUUUCCAUACUUUCAUUCGGAACGGCUCUCAUUGUUCGAAACCAAUAAGUUUAUCUUGGUGAAUAUCAUGGUGUACAAUGGGAGCAACCAAUAGGUUAUGGUGCAGCUGUAAGUCAGUUUUUUCGAGCGCUUUCAUGCGUACAAUGUCUAGAAAUAUACCCUGAAACCGUAGAGACUCUCUCCAUAGUAGAUAACUUUGUAAACAUCCUACCUCGUGUAUUUCGAGAUCUGGUCCAGUUGAUUCUGAAAGAAGGAGUAGGAGAAACCACUGACAAAUCACUAUUUCUUUUGCUCAAAGCAGUACCUAAUUUGAGGUCGCUCGUAUUU